ACUUGUUUUAAACGUCUAAGGCAGGAACCGGAAUGCAUCCUUAAAACUGUCGCACUCGGGUUUUGUUUAAAGGUUUUUAGGUCGUCUCUGAAGUCUCAUCCUUUGUGGGUCACCCUGCAUAUAAUUCUAGGAUUUAAUGUUUUAGAAGGGGACAGGGGGAAUGGAACAGGAUGGAAGGAUGUUAGAGAUCUGGAGAGAUUUAGUGGAGAAGGUUGGAGUAAAGUAAACAAUGUUUGGACUGUAAGUAACUACCGGACAUACUGCUUUGAGUACGUUUUCCAUAUAUGGAUAGUUAGUAUUCUGUCCCUGUCUGCAUUCAUAAG
This is a long non-coding RNA of Eurytemora carolleeae, 323 nucleotides long. RefSeq lists it as uncharacterized. The transcript has 3 exons. Lineage: Eukaryota; Metazoa; Arthropoda; Copepoda; Calanoida; Temoridae. The record is from RefSeq and is a predicted model, not a curated record.